Molecule: ribosomal RNA, 396 nt
Filed under: Citrobacter sp. 102(2011)
Lineage: Bacteria; Pseudomonadati; Pseudomonadota; Gammaproteobacteria; Enterobacterales; Enterobacteriaceae
Description: bacterial SSU rRNA
Rfam family: Bacterial small subunit ribosomal RNA
Source: RNAcentral
GCUGGCGGCAGGCCUAACACAUGCAAGUCGAACGGUAGCACAGAGGAGCUUGCUCCUUGGGUGACGAGUGGCGGACGGGUGAGUAAUGUCUGGGAAACUGCCCGAUGGAGGGGGAUAACUACUGGAAACGGUAGCUAAUGCCGCAAAAAAAAGCAAGACCAAAGAGGGGGACCUUCGGGCCUCUUGCCAUCGGAUGUGCCCAGAUGGGAUUAACUAGUAGGUGGGGUAACGGCUUACGUAGGCGACGAUCCCUAGCUGGUCUGAGAGGAUCCCAACCACACCGGAGCUCAGACACGGUCCAGACUCCUACGGGAGGCAGCAGUGGGGAAUAUUGCACAAUGGGCGCAAGCCUGAUGCAGCCAUCCGCGUGUAUAACAAGGCCUCCGGGUUGUAAAG